RNAcentral lists this ribosomal RNA (253 nucleotides) under uncultured bacterium. RNAcentral's name for it is "partial 16S ribosomal RNA". It matches the Rfam family "Bacterial small subunit ribosomal RNA", at positions 524 to 776 of the family's 1533-position model. The record is from RNAcentral.
CACGUAGGGCGCAAGCGUUGUCCGGAAUUAUUGGGCGUAAAGAGCUCGUAGGCGGUCUGUUGCGUCUGCUGUGAAAACUCGGGGCUUAACCCCGAGCUUGCAGUGGAUACGGGCAGACUAGAGGUAGGUAGGGGAGAAUGGAAUUCCCGGUGUAGCGGUGAAAUGCGCAGAUAUCGGGAGGAACACCGGUGGCGAAGGCGGUUCUCUGGGCCUUACCUGACGCUGAGGAGCGAAAGCGUGGGGAGCGAACAGG